This 6377-nucleotide long non-coding RNA is filed under the name Homo sapiens (human). Its description in RNAcentral is "non-protein coding ZMIZ1-AS1:22". The record is from RNAcentral. Lineage: Eukaryota; Metazoa; Chordata; Mammalia; Primates; Hominidae.
ACACCCUGACAAACCCGGCCCCCACGCGCAGCCCAAGCCGGCUCCGCGCAGCCGGGAGCUCGCCGGCCGCCGGGCCUCGGCCCCCGGCCGCCAAGGAGAGCGGAGCGGAGCCCGCGCCGCCGGCCGGUCGCCCCGCUCCGGGGGACACUUUAAGGGAAAAACCCCAGCACCCAAUCCCCACGCUUGCACCCCGAGAGUCCCCGGGGAGCGGGAGGUAGCCCCGGAGCCAGCGGGCGCCUGGCUCUGGCCCCAAACUUACCGGGCGCUGCGAGCGCCGCUGCCGCCGCUGGAGGACGCGCCGCCGCCACCGCCGGGUAGGGCAGGCUCGGGCCGGGAGGAGCGCAGCGAGGGCGCCGAGAUCCGCUCGGCUCCGGCUCCUGCUCCGCGCCGGCUGGGGCUGGGGUCACCGCGCUGCGCCGGCGUUGCUCGCUCGCUCGGCCGCCCGAUCGCUGCUCGCCCGCCUGCCGCCCGGCCGCCCGCUCUCCCCGGCGCCCGCCGCCGCCGCUCGCUUUUUUAAUGUCCACAGACAGUGAAAAGGAACUCGGCGUUAGGGGGCUGCCACCGUGUCGGAGGCGAGGCGAGGAAGGGAGCUGGAAUAACAAAGGGAGGUAAUGGGGUAGAUUGGAUACCUCUGGGGUCUUGGAAGAAGCUAUGACUUAUUUACUGUCUACUAUGUGGUGGAUGGUGUUUGAAGUGAAUUGAAUUAGGGGACACCCAGCUGGCAUCUGCUGCAGAACUGAUGACUCGCUUGCUGGUGGGCAGAAAUCUCCAUAAUCUUUCUUUAGCAGAUGAGGUCACUGAGGCUCAGAGAGGCUGAAGCCACUUGCUCAGAGCCGCACAGCAAGCCCACCACCCUGAACCUCCAGAUUACCAACUCAGCAUUGUGUCCUGACAGUGUCAUCAUAGAUGGUCAACACCGUCACCUGGGCAGCACUGAAGCCCAGAGCGGGAGAGACUGGCUCAAGACCAUGGGUAAGUCAGCAGCAAAGCUGGGGAAAGGAAACCACCAACCUGAGAGCCCCUGGCUGGUUCCCAAAUCCAGGCCCUUACUUCUCUUCCCCACCAUCCAGGGUGGGGGGCAGACACCCAGUGAAAUGGCCUGCCCCAAAGGAGGGGAGCCUUGCCGAGCCACCCCAGGCCACCUCAGACCCACACCCCCAGCUCAGCGGUUGGAGGGGCUGAGGAGGGGCUGAGCCGCCACCCCCUCCCCACCCCAGUGCCAGGGCCCCAGCCUUGCAGCGCUUGUCCCCAGCCCAGAUGAGCAGGGCGCCCUUAUCAGAUCUCCGUUUCUGUUUCUCUCCUCUGGCUGCUUCUGCCUGGCCCUGCCCCCAACCCCGGUGGCCUUUUCCUCUCUGAAGUGAUGUUCCUUUUCCUGUCACCAACACACACAGCACACAGAGAAGUUUGUUUCUGUUGCUUUAAAAAAGUUUCCUUCUGGGGAGGAGGGCAAGGGGUUGUUUACUGGGCCUGCAAAGCCUCACCGUGGGUGUGGGCAUGGGUGUGGCAUGGGUGUGGGUGGCAACUGGGUCCCUGCUGGAUUUGGGGUUGGUGGAGGCUGCACCCACGACCCUGGGCCUCUGGAUCCUGUGCAAAAGCCAGGAACGUGGAAGGAAAACCUCCUGUGCACCCUGCUCAGGGCUGGGCUGGUUCACCCACCGUCCAGCCACACUCCUGCAGAAACCUGGGAGGUCAGGGGUUUUGUUUUCCAUUUUCCACAGGAGACAGCUGAGGCUCGGCCAAGGUUGCCAGGGUCCAAGCCUAUGGAUUUGUGGUCUGGGCUCUGCCAGUGGCAUGGCACUGUCUUCAAAGCUCCCACCCUACCAUUUUUCUUACCCACACAGGGCAGGCUCGACCCAGCUAAGGAACACAGCUUCCUGAAGCAUCUGUCCUGGGCCGUUGGCCCUUCUGUGGACAGGGCUUGAGCUCUGUAGGCUGGAUUUGAAUUUCAAGUCCUCCUGCUGUGUGACCUUGAACAAGUUACUUAGCCUCUCUGAGCAUCAAAUGGCUUAACUAUCAAAUAAGAAGCACAGAGAAGUCCCCAAGAGCCAGUAGACUCUGGAGGCUGUGAGACCGGGGACUGGGGCUCCUGCAUCCUUAAUGAAGGUUUCAGUCUUGAGUCGCGUCUGGGAGACCUGCUGAAGCAAUGGGGAGCUACUGUAGGUGGGUAAACAAGGGAGAGUGUGAUGGAGGCCAUGUUCUAAAAGGAUUCUAUAGGCAGCAGAAGGGAGGAGGGCUCAGGGGAGAGGUGGAGGAGCUGCAGGGGAGAGGUGGAGGCUGGGAGGCCAACAAAGGAGGCUUUGACUUCCUUUUCAGAAAAAUAAGGCCACCCACCUCCCACCAGGAGCAAGAGUCAUGGAGGGAGACUGUCUCAGCUGGCCUGGCCUGGCUCCUGCCCAGGACAGAGAUCCCGGCCCCUGGACUCCUCCAGCAGCCCAGUGUAGGGGAGGAGUGCCUUCCUCCCCAUGCCCAGGGUAGCCCCUUGUCUGAGAGUGGUGGUUGUGGCAGGCCCUGCUGAGAACUGCAGUUUCAUUUCCCACUGACCUCCACCCACUGGACUCUCCCAGGCUCUUGUUUCAAGCUGCCUAGUGCUAACCCCAGCCCUUGAGCCAGCUCGCUCCAGCCUUUACCUCAGACCAGGGCACUGGGGCUGUGUGUAGGACUCACACCUCCCAGGUCUGUCUCUUACCUUGGGACCCUUAGGGCAGGAACACGGGAGGGGGGCUCUGAUGUAUGAUGUCAGGGAACUCCGAGGGCCACCUCCUCCUCUGACAAAAGCACCUUCUUUGUCAAGUGAGUAAUUCCUCUGACACAUGUCGCUCUGACAUGGCACAGGUCUUCUUAAAGAUGAACGUCCUCCAUGACCUGUGUGGGUUUCCUGGGAAUAACCCACAGUAGUGGUCAAGGAGGCCAGGAAAGAAGAACUUCUACUGUUUCCCCCUUUUCCAAAUUUGUUGGAUGGAGAUAUAGAGGGUGGGGCCACCUUAUUCUUCAAAAGGAUUUUUAACAGCAGGGAAAAGGAAGGGUUGAGUCUCACAGUCCACACUGCAGCCACCAUAACCAUUUCCCAGACAAGUAAACUAAGGCCCAGGGCGAGAUCCCAGGCUUCCUUACUCAACUUCCAGCCAGGGCAGAGUCUCUCGAACGAAAGAAGGGACGCUGCUGCAUGGCUCACGUGCUCAGCCCUGGUAAUAGAAAUACGUCUCCAGUGAGAUCUAAUUGUAACUCUCAUUGGGACCUGCGUCACCUACAAGGCUGGCAGCCAGACACCCUGAGAAUGCACCAGCUUUACUCUUUUUUUUUUUUUUUUUUUUGAGAUGAAGUCUUGCUCUGCUGUACAGUCUAGAGUGCAGUGGCAUGAUCUCGGCUCGCCACACCCUCUGCCUUCCAGAUUCAGGCAAUCUCCUGCCUCAGCCUCCCUAUUAUAUGGGAUUACAGGCAUGCAUCACCACAGCCUGGCUGAUUUGUGUGUGUGCGUGUGUGGUAUUUUUAGUAGAGAUGGGGGUUUCACGAUGUUAACCAGUCUGGUCUCAAACUCCUGAGCUCAAGUGAUCUGCCCACCUCGACCUCCCAAAGUGCUGGGAUCACAGGGGUCAGCCACUGCACCUGGCCUACGAGCUUUACUCUUUCCCUGGGUGAUAGGGUGAUGGCAGUCUCUGGGGCAGGGGGAGGAGUGCUGUGCCACAUGCCCUGGGCACCUGCUUUGCUGCAUGUCCUUCUCCAAGGCUCUGAUCCUCUCUGGGCCUCUUUAUUUCUUGCAGUGCCUGCCUCAUGGGAUUGCAGGGACCAAAGGAUUUGGGUGCCGGCAAUUGGAGGGCCGUUCUGUGGGCCAGCAUUGGGCAGGCGCCUCCCACAUGGUUCUCUUUUUGUCCUCCCAGUAGCCCUGUGCAUCAGACGCAGAGCUGUGCUGCAUGCACCCACUUGCCCCACUCGCCUCAGAGGAGCGUUCCUUGCAGGAGGAAUUUGAUAGAUUUUAAUACCAGGGUCCCCUGCUGACCAGGCUUUGCAUUUCCUUACCUACCCUCGGCUCUAACUUUGGCCUGGCGAAGCAGGGCACCACAGGACAUCAGGGUCACACAUCUCAGACCACAAGAGCCUCAGCAGUCUCCAAGACAAAGUAGAGAUUGAAGGCCCUGCUUCUCCUUCCAGAGUACUGAGGAGCCUCCUGCCUUCCUGAGUGAGGCUGGGGGAUCAAAGCUCAACAAUAGUGGGUUGUCAGAAUUACGUUUCUAGAAAGGAAAAUCAAGACUGAUUUUUAUGGGGAGUAUAGCAUUAUGCUCCAGUAAUAGUACUAUUAGCUCCAUUGCACAGAGGAGGAAAUUGAGGCUUAGAGAAUUUCUGAUUGUCUAAAGACAUCUUUCCUGGAACUGGUGGAUCAGGGACAAGAACCCUGAUUUGUUGAUGUCAAAGCGUGUGUAGUUUUUCCUUUUUUAUAUCUUCUGGAUCAGCAAGACCACCGCAUUUGGGGAACAGAAGGCACAAUGGGGGGAGUGGCACAGCUGCAACGUGAAGGGCUCCAUGUGGGGCCUUGGAGACACCAAGCUGCCCUCCUCCUGGUCCGAGCUGCCCACUUCCCAUCCCUCAUCCCUCCUCCUUCAGCUUAGGGCCAGCUGCACCUGGCUCCAGGCCCUCCACUCAGUGUGGAGAAGUCCUGGCCCUCCUCACCACCUUCCCACAGCCCCUGCUCAGCUGCAGAGCCUGCCGUGGGCCUUCUAAAGCUGUGUACUGCUCCCAAAGGUGGCAGCAGGCAGAGCCAGGCCUUGCUGGGGGCUCCUUCACCCCUUGGAGUCUGGGCCUCAGAGUGACGUCCCAGGCUGAGGCUCAUUGGGAGGGGUCAGCAUUGGCAUCAGGAGACUGGGGUCAAGUCUGAGUUCUGACAGUGACUGUGUGACCUUGGACAGUCACUUGCCCUCGCUGGGCCUUGGUUUUCCUGUUGUGAAGUCAUAUGGUCCUGGGAUGUGGGCAAGGGUAGAGAAAUGAGACACUUCAGCUCCCCACUCACAAGCCGUGCCCCCUCAGGCCCACCACUUAGGUUUUCUUAGCCCCUCCAUUUUCCCCGGCAUAAAAUGGGGAUAAUGAAGCCCAUUCCUUCUGAUCGUUAAGGAAACCAGCAUUUACUGAAGGCUCGGCCCCGUGCAAGAUGCUCUCUGAAGCAUUUUCUCUCAUGGACUCCCAUCCAUCCAACAAUGAAAUGAAAUGUCUUGCUUUUGGUCUUUCAUACAAUGUCUCUUUGCAGCCUCUCCUGGUCUGACAGUCUCAGAUGCAGUCAUGGAUGGCUUUCUGGAGGAGGUGGUACCUGGUCUGUGGGAAGUAGGGGUCAGCAUCCUGGUCUCUGGGAGCAUCUGCUCCAGAUGGUUUCCCUGGGGCCCCCAGAAGCAGGUGUUUGCGCUAACAGCUCUGCAAGCAGAGAGCUUCAGUGCAUGGCCCUUCUUGCCCUUGUUCCCAGGCACAUGCUGUUCCCCUGGGGCUGAAUACCCCACUUACUUGUAAAUCCCAGUGCUCUCCUGUUCAUUCUGCAGUGCCAGCACAAGUCUCCUCCUUGGGGAAGGCUUUCUGGACUUCCCAGCCCACUGGCCAUUGUUCCGUCUUGCAGGUGCCCCCUCAGGGUGCCUGCUGUAACCGUCACUCACAUAUCUCCCCCACCCAACAGAGGGCCUUGCUUUUGGUCCUGGACCUGCACCUUUGACUGUAUUCUUAGUGAUUUGUCCAAGCCCACCCUGGGAGAUAGGGGCGGUGCCAGGCUAGCACCCAGUUCUCCUGGGUUCUCUGAGAAAGUUCCUACCUUCUUCCCUGGCUCACAAGUAGUACUUAAGCAGUUUUGGUUGUUAAAGAAAAUACUGAAUUUAUUCUUCCAACCACUCAUAUAUAUAUAUAAAUCAGUGUUAUUGAGAAACAAUUUACAAAAUGCACCCAUUUUCACUGUACAGUUCAGUGAAUUUUAACAGGUGUGUACAGUGGUGUAAACACUGCCACACCCAAGAUAUCACACAUUUCCAUCACCCCUCAAAAUCUCCUCAUACCCCUUCCUGAUCAAUCCCUCUUCCUGCCUCAGGCAACAUUUGAUUUGAUUUUAUCAAUAUCGAUUAGUUUUGCAUGUUCUAGAAUGUCCUAUAAAUUGUGAUUAGGCAGUAUGUACUUUCUGUGUAGUGCCAUGCAUGUUGUAUCUUGCAUGAGUAGUUCGGCCCUUUGCAUUGCUGGGUAGUAUUCUGGAGAAUGGACAUUCCACAAUUUGUUUAUCUGUUCACCAAUUGAUAGAAUUUGGGUUAUUUCCAGUUUGGGGAUUUUAUGAAUAAAGCUGCUAUGAACAUUCAUGUGAACAUGUUUUCAUUUACCUUGGGCUAAUGCCUGGAACUGGUAUUGUUGUAUUGUCAGGGUAAGUA